AGUUGGAAAGGGAGCAAUGAAGUAUUUCUUGUAAUCUGGGCACUUAAGAAAUACGGAGCGAGUAGUGCAACCGACCUUUCUUUAA
This 85-nucleotide non-coding RNA is filed under the name Clostridiales bacterium. Its description in RNAcentral is "c-di-GMP-II sequence". It matches the Rfam family "Cyclic di-GMP-II riboswitch aptamer". The record is from RNAcentral. Lineage: Bacteria; Bacillati; Bacillota; Clostridia; Eubacteriales.